This 572-nucleotide ribosomal RNA is filed under the name uncultured fungus. RNAcentral describes it as "eukaryotic LSU rRNA". The stretch from base 210 to 363 matches the Rfam family "5.8S ribosomal RNA". The record is from RNAcentral. Lineage: Eukaryota; Fungi.
GUCGUAACAAGGUCUCCGUAGGUGAACCUGCGGAGGGAUCAUUACACAAAUAUGAAGGCGGGCUGGAACCUCUCGGGGUUACAGCCUUGCUGAAUUAUUCACCCUUGUCUUUUGCGUACUUCUUGUUUCCUUGGUGGGUUCGCCCACCACUAGGACAAACAUAAACCUUUUGUAAUUGCAAUCAGCGUCAGUAACAAAUUAAUAAUUACAACUUUCAACAACGGAUCUCUUGGUUCUGGCAUCGAUGAAGAACGCAGCGAAAUGCGAUAAGUAGUGUGAAUUGCAGAAUUCAGUGAAUCAUCGAAUCUUUGAACGCACAUUGCGCCCUUUGGUAUUCCAAAGGGCAUGCCUGUUCGAGCGUCAUUUGUACCCUCAAGCUUUGCUUGGUGUUGGGCGUCUUGUCUCUAGCUUUGCUGGAGACUCGCCUUAAAGUAAUUGGCAGCCGGCCUACUGGUUUCGGAGCGCAGCACAAGUCGCACUCUCUAUCAGCAAAGGUCUAGCAUCCAUUAAGCCUUUUUUUCANCUUUUGACCUUGGAUCAGGUAGGGAUACCCGCUGAACUUAAGCAUAUCA